ACGGAAACAUGUCUAGCUUGCUAGAUGAUGUCGAGUGGCGGACGGGUGAGUAAUGCUUGGGAACUUGCCUUUGCGAGGGGGAUAACAGUUGGAAACGACUGCUAAUACCGCAUAAUGUCUUCGGACCAAACGGGGCUUCGGCUCCGGCGCAAAGAGAGGCCCAAGUGAGAUUAGCUAGUUGGUGAGGUAAAGGCUCACCAAGGCAACGAUCUCUAGCUGUUCUGAGAGGAAGAUCAGCCACACUGGGACUGAGACACGGCCCAGACUCCUACGGGAGGCAGCAGUGGGGAAUAUUGCACAAUGGGCGAAAGCCUGAUGCAGCCAUGCCGCGUGUGUGAAGAAGGCCUUCGGGUUGUAAAGCACUUUCAGCGAGGAGGAAAGGGUAACGAUUAAUACUCGUUAUCUGUGACGUUACUCGCAGAAGAAGCACCGGCUAACUUCGUGCCAGCAGCCGCGGUAAUACGAGGGGUGCAAGCGUUAAUCGGAAUUACUGGGCGUAAAGCGUGCGUAGGCGGUUUGUUAAGCAAGAUGUGAAAGCCCCGGGCUCAACCUGGGAACUGCAUUUUGAACUGACAGGCUAGAGUACUGUAGAGGGUGGUGGAAUUUCCAGUGUAGCGG
Molecule: ribosomal RNA, 618 nt
Filed under: uncultured bacterium
Lineage: Bacteria
Description: bacterial SSU rRNA
Rfam family: Bacterial small subunit ribosomal RNA
Source: RNAcentral